RNAcentral lists this ribosomal RNA (449 nucleotides) under uncultured bacterium. RNAcentral describes it as "bacterial SSU rRNA". It matches the Rfam family "Bacterial small subunit ribosomal RNA", at positions 29 to 523 of the family's 1533-position model. The record is from RNAcentral.
AACGAACGCUGGCGGCAGGCCUAACACAUGCAAGUCGAACGCCGUAGCAAUACGGAGUGGCAGACGGGUGAGUAACACGUGGGAACGUACCUUUCGGUUCGGAAUAACUCAGGGAAACUUGAGCUAAUACCGGAUACGUGCGAGAGCAGAAAGAUUUAUCGCCGAAAGAUCGGCCCGCGUCCGAUUAGCUUGUUGGUGAGGUAAUGGCUCACCAAGGCGACGAUCGGUAGCUGGUCUGAGAGGAUGAUCAGCCACACUGGGACUGAGACACGGCCCAGACUCCUACGGGAGGCAGCAGUGGGGAAUAUUGGACAAUGGGCGCAAGCCUGAUCCAGCCAUGCCGCGUGAGUGAUGAAGGCCCUAGGGUUGUAAAGCUCUUUCGCCAGGGACGAUAAUGACGGUACCUAGAUAAGAAGCCCCGGCUAACUUCGUGCCAGCAGCCGCGGUAA